UGCAAGUCGAACGAAGCACCUCUAAUCGAAGAUUGAGAAAGCUUGCUUUUGAUUGAUUCACCUUGAGGUGACUGAGUGGCGGACGGAUGAGUAACGCGUGGGUAACCUACCCUAUACAGGGGGAUAACAGUUGGAAACGACUGCUAAUACCGCAUAAGCGCACGAAGACCGCAUGGUCUAGUGUGAAAAACUCCGGUGGUAUAGGAUGGACCCGCGUCUGAUUAGCUAGUUGGUGAGGUAACGGCUCACCAAGGCGACGAUCAGUAGCCGACCUGAGAGGGUGACCGGCCACAUUGGGACUGAGACACGGCCCAAACUCCUACGGGAGGCAGCAGUGGGGAAUAUUGCACAAUGGGCGAAAGCCUGAUGCAGCGACGCCGCGUGAACGAAGAAGUAUUUCGGUAUGUAAAGUUCUAUCAGCAGGGAAGAAAAAUGACGGUACCUGACUAAGAAGCUCCGGCUAAAUACGUGCCAGCAGCCGCGGUAAUACGUAUGGAGCAAGCGUUAUCCGGAUUUACUGGGUGUAAAGGGAGCGUAGGCGGUGGUUUAAGUCUGAUGUGAAAGCCCGGGGCUCAACCCCGGUAUUGCAUUGGAAACUGAAUCACUAGAGUGUCGGAGGGGUAAGUGGAAUUCCUAGUGUAGCGGUGAAAUGCGUAGAUAUUAGGAGGAACACCAGUGGCGAAGGCGGCUUACUGGACGAUUACUGACGCUGAGGCUCGAAAGCGUGGGGAGCAACCGGAUUAGAUACCCUGGUAGUUC
This 759-nucleotide ribosomal RNA is filed under the name uncultured rumen bacterium. RNAcentral describes it as "bacterial SSU rRNA". It matches the Rfam family "Bacterial small subunit ribosomal RNA", at positions 56 to 796 of the family's 1533-position model. The record is from RNAcentral.